RNAcentral lists this unclassified non-coding RNA (304 nucleotides) under Hevea brasiliensis (rubber tree). Lineage: Eukaryota; Viridiplantae; Streptophyta; Magnoliopsida; Malpighiales; Euphorbiaceae. The record is from RNAcentral.
GAGGAGGAGGAUUCUUACCAAGCAUUUCAUCUUUAAGACCCUGUCCUCGAGAACCAAAAACUUUCCUUUCCUCCCAUAUAUCAACCAGUCUAGUCACCACUUUCUUCCCAUGUUCAUCCCCAUUUUCAUAAACUUGUUUGAGUGUUGCAGGAAGAACUUUCCAGAAUUCAUUAACAAACUCACUACCCUUCCGCCUGCUAUUUUGCAAUAUGUCAUUAGCUAAAUAUAGAAAAGAGACACGCUGCUCUCUCUGGGAUGAGUUGAACAAUUUAUCCCAUAUUUCAACAAUCUGUCUUGCUUUUUU